AGAGGCCCAAGUUGACAAGCCCCGGCAUAAAAAGUGGUUAAUACAGUAUUACACUAAAGUUAAACAUCUUCAAAGCAGUUAUACGCCCCUGAGGACAGGAAGACCUCCUACGAAAGUGACUUUAAAUAAUAUAACCCCACGAAAGCUAGGAAACAAACUGGGAUUAGAUACCCCACUAUGCCUAGCCUUAAACACAAGUGAUAACAUACAUCAUUGCUUGCCAGGGGACUACGAGCCCCAGCUUAAAACCCAAAGGACUUGGCGGUGCUUUAGACCCACCUAGAGGAGCCUGUUCUAGAACCGAUAACCCCCGUUAAACCUCACCCUCUCUUGUUUAUCCCGCCUAUAUACCGCCGUCGUCAGCUUACCCUAUGAGGGCUUAAUAGUAAGCACAAUUGGUAAAACCCAAAACGCCAGGUCGAGGUGUAGCGCACGAGAGGGCAAGAAAUGGGCUACAUUCACUGAUCCAGUAAAUACGAACAAUGCCUUGAAACAGACAUUCAAAGGAGGAUUUAGCAGUAAGGAAGAAUAAGAGUGCCUUCCUGAAUCUGGCCCUGAAGCGCGCACACACCGCCCGUCACUCUCCCCAAACCAAACAAAUUAGUAAAUAAAUAAUAAAGUAAAUAAAGGGGAGGCAAGUCGUAACAUGGUAAGUGUACCGGAAGGUGUACUUGGAAAAAUCAGAACGUAGCUAAA
This 696-nucleotide ribosomal RNA is filed under the name Mugilogobius parvus (least mullet goby). Its description in RNAcentral is "partial 12S ribosomal RNA". It matches the Rfam family "Bacterial small subunit ribosomal RNA", at positions 534 to 1533 of the family's 1533-position model. Lineage: Eukaryota; Metazoa; Chordata; Actinopteri; Gobiiformes; Gobiidae. The record is from RNAcentral.